GGAUAGCUCAGUUGGUAGAGCGUGAGACUCUUGAUCUCAGGGUCAUGAGUUCGAGCCCCACCUUGGCCA
This is a non-coding RNA of Podarcis lilfordi (Lilford's wall lizard), 69 nucleotides long. Lineage: Eukaryota; Metazoa; Chordata; Lepidosauria; Squamata; Lacertidae. The record is from the annotation of a GenBank genome assembly.